UGCCUGUGAAGACACUGUUUAACGGCCGCGGUAUUUUGACCGUGCAAAGGUAGCGCAAUCACUUGUCUUUUAAAUGAAGACCUGUAUGAAUGGCAUAACGAGGGCUAAGCUGUCUCCUUUUUUAAGUCAAUGAAAUUGAUCCCCCCGUGCAGAAGCGGGGAUAAAAACAUAAGACGAGAAGACCCUAUGGAGCUUAAGACAUUAAACAGCUUAAAGUAAAACUUCCCAUAAAAGAAACAAACCAAAAAAUGACCUGUUGUAUUGUCUUUGGUUGGGGCGACCGCGGGGAAACAAAAAACCCCCAUGUGGACUGGGACAACAUUCCUACAGUCAAGAGCUACAGCUCUAAAAAACAGAACUUCUGACCUUUAAGAUCCGGCGCAUUGGCCGAUCAACGGACCGAGUUACCCUAGGGAUAACAGCGCAAUCCCCUUUUAGAGCCCAUAUCGACAAGGGGGUUUACGACCUCGAUGUUGGAUCAGGACAUCCUAAUGGUGCAGCCGCUAUUAAGGGUUCGUUUGUUCAACGAUUAAAGUCCUACGUGAUCUGAGUUCAGA
Molecule: ribosomal RNA, 557 nt
Filed under: Badis assamensis
Lineage: Eukaryota; Metazoa; Chordata; Actinopteri; Anabantiformes; Badidae
Description: partial 16S ribosomal RNA
Rfam family: Bacterial large subunit ribosomal RNA
Source: RNAcentral